This 1064-nucleotide ribosomal RNA is filed under the name Lacticaseibacillus paracasei. RNAcentral's name for it is "bacterial SSU rRNA". It matches the Rfam family "Bacterial small subunit ribosomal RNA", at positions 38 to 1070 of the family's 1533-position model. The record is from RNAcentral. Lineage: Bacteria; Bacillati; Bacillota; Bacilli; Lactobacillales; Lactobacillaceae.
UACGGCGUGCUAUAAUGCAGUCGAACGAGUUCUCGUUGAUGAUCGGUGCUUGCACCGAGAUUCAACAUGGAACGAGUGGCGGACGGGUGAGUAACACGUGGGUAACCUGCCCUUAAGUGGGGGAUAACAUUUGGAAACAGAUGCUAAUACCGCAUAGAUCCAAGAACCGCAUGGUUCUUGGCUGAAAGAUGGCGUAAGCUAUCGCUUUUGGAUGGACCCGCGGCGUAUUAGCUAGUUGGUGAGGUAAUGGCUCACCAAGGCGAUGAUACGUAGCCGAACUGAGAGGUUGAUCGGCCACAUUGGGACUGAGACACGGCCCAAACUCCUACGGGAGGCAGCAGUAGGGAAUCUUCCACAAUGGACGCAAGUCUGAUGGAGCAACGCCGCGUGAGUGAAGAAGGCUUUCGGGUCGUAAAACUCUGUUGUUGGAGAAGAAUGGUCGGCAGAGUAACUGUUGUCGGCGUGACGGUAUCCAACCAGAAAGCCACGGCUAACUACGUGCCAGCAGCCGCGGUAAUACGUAGGUGGCAAGCGUUAUCCGGAUUUAUUGGGCGUAAAGCGAGCGCAGGCGGUUUUUUAAGUCUGAUGUGAAAGCCCUCGGCUUAACCGAGGAAGCGCAUCGGAAACUGGGAAACUUGAGUGCAGAAGAGGACAGUGGAACUCCAUGUGUAGCGGUGAAAUGCGUAGAUAUAUGGAAGAACACCAGUGGCGAAGGCGGCUGUCUGGUCUGUAACUGACGCUGAGGCUCGAAAGCAUGGGUAGCGAACAGGAUUAGAUACCCUGGUAGUCCAUGCCGUAAACGAUGAAUGCUAGGUGUUGGAGGGUUUCCGCCCUUCAGUGCCGCAGCUAACGCAUUAAGCAUUCCGCCUGGGGAGUACGACCGCAAGGUUGAAACUCAAAGGAAUUGACGGGGGCCCGCACAAGCGGUGGAGCAUGUGGUUUAAUUCGAAGCAACGCGAAGAACCUUACCAGGUCUUGACUUCUUUUGAUCCCUUGAAAAAUCAGGUUUCCCUUCGGGGCAAAAUGACGGGGGGGGGCUGGUUGCCUCCACUCCGGGCCCGAGA